CAUGGCUCAGUGUGGGCCCCUCCCCAUCUGGCUCCCACCUCCGGGUGCACAGUCUAUGGGGCACCUGAAAUCUCUACAGGCAGGUUUCAUGAGUCUGCCUACCCCACCAUCCUGAAUCUGGAAUAGGCCUACGAUGCCAGAAUCAUUAAUGAAAUUACACCUCUGCCCUGCGGUGGCAUCUGCAUUGAUGGCUCACCCGGAGCACGGAGGGCCGCCUGGAGCACCGAGGGCCGCCUGGAGCACCGAGGGCCACCUGGAGCACCAGCACCGCCCGUGCACCUGCAGGGCCUCCUCCCUCAGCCCACCUCCCUCGGCCUCAACAGUGAAACUCCGCAGGCGACAUUCUCCCCAGCUGUUGCCUCACUUAGCCUCCUCUGCUCACCCGGGCGCUGGACACCUUGCCCCGUAGCCCCGAGUGCUGGCGUGUGCGGGCAGACGAGAGCGUCCUCGGAGGGGUUGAGGCCCCCGGAGGUGCCUGGACUCCGCACUCCUUCCGACGAGCCGGGCUGGGAAGCGCCGUGCACCGGAGUCAUUUAGCACCAGCACGCAGAAGCACAGCGUACUCUAUUCCUGCUCUUCCUGGAGUCCUCUGCUGCUGCCACCACCUGACCAGGGAGGACAGCUGAGCGACAUUCAAGCAAAGGACGCUGUGAAGGGAACCAGGGGACAGAUUAGCAGAAGUGAGGAAAGGAAGCUGUUAAUCACUGAAGGCGGUACUUUAAACUGUGGUGGGUCUUGAGAUGAUUUUUUAAUUUAAGUGCUUUGUCUUUGACGAUCACAUAAAUAUGUUUGUGAA
Sciurus carolinensis (gray squirrel) is the source of this 796-nucleotide long non-coding RNA. RefSeq lists it as uncharacterized. The transcript is spliced from 3 exons. Lineage: Eukaryota; Metazoa; Chordata; Mammalia; Rodentia; Sciuridae. The record is from RefSeq and is a predicted model, not a curated record.